RNAcentral lists this ribosomal RNA (495 nucleotides) under uncultured bacterium. RNAcentral's name for it is "partial 16S ribosomal RNA". It matches the Rfam family "Bacterial small subunit ribosomal RNA", at positions 28 to 507 of the family's 1533-position model. The record is from RNAcentral.
GACGAACGCUGGCGGCGUGCCUAAUACAUGCAAGUAGGACGCUGAAGGAGGAGCUUGCUUCUCUGGAUGAGUUGCGAACGGGUGAGUAACGCGUAGGUAACCUGCCUGGUAGCGGGGGAUAACUAUUGGAAACGAUAGCUAAUACCGCAUAAUAGUAGAUGUUGCAUGACAUUUGCUUAAAAGUUGCAAUUGCAUCACUACCAGAUGGACCUGCGUUGUAUUAGCUAGUUGGUGGGGUAACGGCUCACCAAGGCGACGAUACAUAGCCGACCUGAGAGGGUGAUCGGCCACACUGGGACUGAGACACGGCCCAGACUCCUACGGGAGGCAGCAGUAGGGAAUCUUCGGCAAUGGACGGAAGUCUGACCGAGCAACGCCGCGUGAGUGAAGAAGGUUUUCGGAUCGUAAAGCUCUGUUGUAAGAGAAGAACGAGUGUGAGAGUGGAAAGUUCACACUGUGACGGUAUCUUACCAGAAAGGGACGGCUAACUACGUG